Molecule: ribosomal RNA, 301 nt
Filed under: uncultured bacterium
Lineage: Bacteria
Description: partial 16S ribosomal RNA
Rfam family: Bacterial small subunit ribosomal RNA
Source: RNAcentral
CAGUCGCCACGGGAAUACGUAGGUGGCAAGCGUUAUCCGGAAUUAUUGGGCGUAAAGCGCGCGUAGGCGGUUUUUUAAGUCUGAUGUGAAAGCCCACGGCUCAACCGUGGAGGGUCAUUGGAAACUGGAAAACUUGAGUGCAGAAGAGGAAAGUGGAAUUCCAUGUGUAGCGGUGAAAUGCGCAGAGAUAUGGAGGAACACCAGUGGCGAAGGCGACUUUCUGGUCUGUAACUGACGCUGAUGUGCGAAAGCGUGGGGAUCAAACAGGAUUAGAGACCCCAGUAGUCCCUGUCUCUUAUAC